Molecule: ribosomal RNA, 291 nt
Filed under: Triticum aestivum (bread wheat)
Lineage: Eukaryota; Viridiplantae; Streptophyta; Magnoliopsida; Poales; Poaceae
Description: partial small subunit ribosomal RNA
Source: RNAcentral
AUGGCGGCUGCUGGUGAUGAGAAGCUGUACCUUCUGGUGGCGUGUUCUUUGCUGCUGCUCGCCGUGGGGUGCCAGGCUAGCCCUCUGCAGAUUGGGUUCUACCACGACAGGUGCCCCCAGGCGGAGGCCAUCGUCAAGGGCGUCAUGAUGGAUGCCAUCUCCCAGAACCCCGGCAAUGGCGCUGCCAUGAUCCGCAUGCUCUUCCACGACUGCUUCGUCGAGGUACACACUAGCCACUCACCGGAAGAAAUAAAUUGCAUUGCAAACAUGUAUGUUUACUUUUAUAAUUGA